Long non-coding RNA from Haliaeetus leucocephalus (bald eagle), 859 nucleotides. RefSeq lists it as uncharacterized. NCBI's taxonomy places the organism in Eukaryota, Metazoa, Chordata, Aves, Accipitriformes, Accipitridae. The record is from RefSeq and is a predicted model, not a curated record. The transcript has 3 exons.
UACACUUGCUAAGCUUUCAAAGCAGGAGAUGCCAGUGCCAGAGGUCAAGUGGUCGCUUUUCUGCUUCCUUACACUUCAGAGUAAACACAGAUCAUUCUUUUAAAUCAGGCACUCAUGUUUUUCUUACCUGCUUCUGCUGAGCUGAACAGCAAGAGGACAGCAAGAACAAGGAGGGGCUUUCUCUUCGGAUCAUCAACCAUCUUCCUGUUAGUCCACUACAAGUACAAGGAUUGUACAGGGAAAAAUAGCCGUGGAAAACUUCUGACUUCAGAAAUCAGCUAGUGGAACCAGUCCCAGCAAGUGACAGAGUUACAGUGCUUUAUCCUUGCCCCCUAGACCUGUCUGUCAAGUUCUGACUGCGGACACUGAUUUGUCACAAGGCUUCACAGUAAGUCCAUGCCAGGAAGAUUCAUGCCAGCCUUGCGUCUGUGUAUUUUCCUAUUGCAUUGCUGUCUUUUUCCUGUAUUUCUACUUUUGGUCAGAUUUCUGUAGCUGCCAAAAGAAGGCAAAGCAAUGGAUUACUUCUGAAAAGUGAGGGGAAAGACAGGCUAAAAUGUAACUGGUGGCUAUGUCACUGUAAUACACUCAGAUUGUGCAUUUCUUAGGGUGGGCACACUCUCCACUUUUCCUUUAGAGACUGCAUUUCAGAUAUUACGGGAAAUAAAAGGAUGAUGCCAGUAAUGCACCAGUAUCACAAGCAUGCAAAUACUUCAAACAGAUCUUUGAAGAAAAAACUUUACUGCUUUGGUGUAAACAGACGGAGAAGCAUAAGUGCGCAACCAAACGUGUAACCCCCGGUCUGCCACACAACGUUCAUGAGGUGGUGGUACCAUCUCCCCGGCUGUGUUAGACUUUCAGG